Molecule: long non-coding RNA, 309 nt
Organism: Rhipicephalus microplus (southern cattle tick)
Lineage: Eukaryota; Metazoa; Arthropoda; Arachnida; Ixodida; Ixodidae
Source: RefSeq, a predicted model, not a curated record
CCUAUCCUGCCACACCUCUGGUACCUUUCAGCGGAUUUUCAACUAUUUCUCAUCGGCGUCAUAGUCAUACAGACUUUCAAAAAAAAGAAGUGGCUCGUUGUUUGGCUUUUCGGAGCAUUAUCUUUUGCAUGUUGCAUCGUUUCUGCGUGGCAAAUAUACGGAACCAACAUCCCGCCCUUCUUGAUUGCCGUAAACACGACUUACAGAAAAUACCUGGACACGCUCAACAAAUACUACGUGCGACCUUUCUACCACGGCGUGUGCUUCUUCUCCGGCUGUAUGACGUUCCUGGCCAUUCAGAAGUAUGGC